GGGUUAGUGGCUUGGUUAGCUCAGAAGCCUUAAAACAGCAUCUGCGGUGGUUCAAUUCCAUCUCUACCCACCA
Molecule: transfer RNA, 73 nt
Filed under: Bacillus phage Maceta
Lineage: Duplodnaviria; Heunggongvirae; Uroviricota; Caudoviricetes; Herelleviridae
Description: tRNA-Leu
Source: RNAcentral